RNAcentral lists this ribosomal RNA (253 nucleotides) under uncultured bacterium. RNAcentral describes it as "partial 16S ribosomal RNA". It matches the Rfam family "Bacterial small subunit ribosomal RNA", at positions 524 to 776 of the family's 1533-position model. The record is from RNAcentral.
UACAGAGGUCUCAAGCGUUGUUCGGAUUCAUUGGGCGUAAAGGGUGUGUAGGUGGCGCACUAAGUCGGGUGUGAAAUUUCGGAGCUUAACUCCGAAACUGCAUUCGAUACUGGCGUGCUUGAGGACUGGAGAGGAGACUGGAAUUUACGGUGUAGCAGUGAAAUGCGUAGAUAUCGUAAGGAAGACCAGUGGCGAAGGCGGGUCUCUGGACAGUUCCUGACACUGAGACACGAAGGCCAGGGGAGCAAACGGG